This 253-nucleotide ribosomal RNA is filed under the name uncultured bacterium. RNAcentral's name for it is "partial 16S ribosomal RNA". It matches the Rfam family "Bacterial small subunit ribosomal RNA", at positions 524 to 776 of the family's 1533-position model. The record is from RNAcentral.
UACGUAGGGCGCAAGCGUUGUCCGGAAUUAUUGGGCGUAAAGAGCUCGUAGGCGGCUUGUCACGUCUGCUGUGAAAUCCCGGGGCUCAACCCCGGGCGUGCAGUGGAUACGGGCUGGCUAGAGGCAGGCAGGGGAGAACGGAAUUCCCGGUGUAGCGGUGAAAUGCGCAGAUAUCGGGAGGAACACCGGUGGCGAAGGCGGUUCUCUGGGCCGAUACUGACGCUGAGGAGCGAAAGCGUGGGGAGCGAACAGG